AAAAUUGAUAGUACUAUUAUCAUUAUAAUUAUAAACACAAAUUAGAGGUUAUUUUUCGAGGUGUAGGAGUGUUUAAAUUAAUUAGAAUCAAUACCAUCAAAUUGAAGAUAGACUCAUCCUUUAUCUGUUUGGAUUUGACAGACAUAAGACACGAAUAGACAUACAGCAAACAUCUUCUUCCAACACAAAUUCAUUAUGAUAAACUAAUUCCAAAGAAAUUAAUACAACAAAAGCAC
This 236-nucleotide long non-coding RNA is filed under the name Mytilus galloprovincialis (Mediterranean mussel). Lineage: Eukaryota; Metazoa; Mollusca; Bivalvia; Mytilida; Mytilidae. The record is from RNAcentral.